Small nucleolar RNA from Saimiri boliviensis boliviensis (Bolivian squirrel monkey), 99 nucleotides. RefSeq annotates it as small nucleolar RNA U13. Lineage: Eukaryota; Metazoa; Chordata; Mammalia; Primates; Cebidae. The record is from RefSeq and is a predicted model, not a curated record.
AUACUUUUGUAGGUCCUAAGCAAAGGAUCGGGUUUUCAUGCUCAUGUGUGAGGUCUGCCUCCCUCAAACCUUCUGAUCUGGGCACGUACCUGGCUAAUG